Molecule: long non-coding RNA, 695 nt
Organism: Gopherus flavomarginatus (Mexican gopher tortoise)
Lineage: Eukaryota; Metazoa; Chordata; Testudines; Testudinidae
Exons: 3
Source: RefSeq, a predicted model, not a curated record
CACACAGCCCCUAGCAGCCUGCACACACACUCACUCACACACAAACACCACAAACUACAAAAACCACAAAAACCUGCUCCUCCAACAGCACUCCCACUGAAACUCCCCUGUUAGCCGCUCUGUUCGCCGCCUCCUGUGCCGCUGCAGCUGCCUGAGUGCCUGGCUCCUUAUAUAGGACCCCUAAUCAGGUAAGCCCCGCCCCCAACUCAGGGCUCAGCCUCGCUCUCAGCACACAGCCCCUAGCAGCCUGCACACACACUCACUCACACACAAACACCACAAACUACAAAAACCACAAAAACCUGCUCCUCCAACAGCACUCCCACUGAAACUCCCCUGUUAGCCGCUCUGUUCGCCGCCUCCUGUGCCGCUGCAGCUGCCUGAGUGCCUGGCUCCUUAUAUAGGACCCCUAAUCAGGUAAGCCCCGCCCCCAACUCAGGGCUCAGCCUCGCUCUCAGCACACAGCCCCUAGCAGCCUGCACACACACUCACUCACACACAAACACGCAAACUACAAAAACCACAAAAACCUGCUCCUCCAACAGCACUCCCACUGAAACUCCCCUGUUAGCCGCUCUGUUCGCCGCCGCUGCAGCUGACUGUGCCGCUGCCUGAGUGCCUGGCUCCUUAUAUAGGACCCCUAAUCAGGUAAGCCCCGCCCCCAACUCAGGGCUCAGCCUCGCUCUCAGCACACA